UUGUGUAACUCAGGCUGAGGUCACGGAAACCCCGUCUCCGUCUGUGAGAGCAGGUGACACCGUGUCCGUGGUCUCCGUCCCAGUGCUGUGCCCAAACCCUGGCUUCAGUCUGUCGAAUUCACCGGAAGCCGACCAACAGCCUGUCAGUGCCCGAGUGGAAGUGAGCGUGUUCCUGCUCUCGUGGAGGGGCUGGGUUUUUGCAGGCGUUUACAGACGGGCUUCAGAGGCAGUGAGGAAGGCCGGGCGGGUUAAGGAAGCCGCAAAACCAGGACCCGAACUCCCGGAGCAUGCUUUGCAUUGAGGUCCAGAGGCAGCUGUCCUUCCACUCAGGGGACAGCAUAGGCAACACCAGCACGAUGCCUUUUCCCAGCCAGCCCUGGAGCAGAGAUCUGAGUUCACACUGCAGUUCCAGCCCCUGGUCAGAUCAGGAGCUGUCUCUUCUCAAGGCAGAGUAGGUGGGACCAACCACCCCAGGACCCCCAGAGGCAGCUGGACUUUGGACAGUGACCGGUGUUGCUCAAGGGACAGCAGCCUGGACCCUAAUACCAGUCACUCCAGAAAGACUUUCACCAACACACCAAUCUUCAUCCUUCCCCACUGAGCCGCAUCUGCCGAACCACCCUCACACGCCUGCUUUCCUGCCGGCGACUGUUGCCUUCACCGGAAGAGCCGAGGUUACUCAGCCCCUGCAGCUGCCUCAGCA
This is a long non-coding RNA of Lemur catta (Ring-tailed lemur), 703 nucleotides long. RefSeq lists it as uncharacterized. Lineage: Eukaryota; Metazoa; Chordata; Mammalia; Primates; Lemuridae. The record is from RefSeq and is a predicted model, not a curated record. The transcript is spliced from 3 exons.